UACGAAGGGGCUAGCGUUGCUCGGAAUCACUGGGCGUAAAGGGUGCGUAGGCGGGUCUUUAAGUCAGGGGUGAAAUCCUGGAGCUCAACUCCAGAACUGCCUUUGAUACUGAAGAUCUUGAGUUCGGGAGAGGUGAGUGGAACUGCGAGUGUAGAGGUGAAAUUCGUAGAUAUUCGCAAGAACACCAGUGGCGAAGGCGGCUCACUGGCCCGAUACUGACGCUGAGGCACGAAAGCGUGGGAGCAAACAGG
Molecule: ribosomal RNA, 251 nt
Filed under: uncultured bacterium
Lineage: Bacteria
Description: partial 16S ribosomal RNA
Rfam family: Bacterial small subunit ribosomal RNA
Source: RNAcentral